This is an RNA transcript of Piliocolobus tephrosceles (Ugandan red Colobus), 2299 nucleotides long. It is a transcript of the gene named carbonic anhydrase 8 (inactive), with no coding region annotated. The record is from RefSeq and is a predicted model, not a curated record. The transcript is spliced from 11 exons. Lineage: Eukaryota; Metazoa; Chordata; Mammalia; Primates; Cercopithecidae.
CCAGGCGCUCGCUACCCAGGCCACCGCGGCUCCCUCGCUCCGCUGGGGCCUCCGGACGGGCUCCCCGCGCGGGUCUCUGGAACGCUCUGGCCGAACGCAAGCCCGCUUGCACUCACACUGCAGUUCACACCCGCAGGCGCGCUCGCACCCACAUUGCCGCUCACGCGCGCUCACACUCCCCCACGCGCGCUCCACUCCCGCUCCAGCCCCGAGCCCCGCAAAGGCGCAGGCACCGCCACCGAGAGCGCCAAGGGGCCCCGCGGCCUUCCCAUGGCGGACCUGAGCUUCAUCGAAGAUACGGUCGCCUUCCCCGAGAAGGAAGAGGAUGAGGAGGAAGAGGAAGAGGGUGUGGAGUGGGGCUACGAGGAAGGUGUUGAGUGGGGUCUGGUGUUUCCUGAUGCAAAUGGGGAAUAUCAGUCUCCUAUUAACCUAAACUCAAGAGAGGCUAGGUAUGACCCCUCACUGCUGGAUGUCCGCCUCUCCCCAAAUUAUGUGGUCUGCCGAGACUGUGAAGUCACCAAUGAUGGACAUACUAUUCAGGUUAUCCUGAAGUCAAAAUCAGUUCUUUCGGGAGGACCAUUGCCUCAAGGGCAUGAAUUUGAACUGUAUGAAGUGAGAUUUCACUGGGGGAGAGAAAACCAGCGUGGUUCUGAGCACACGGUUAAUUUCAAAGCUUUUCCCAUGGAGAUGGGAUCAUCUAGUUGCAGGAAAACAAGCUCAGGCUCCCACUGCUUCUACGUUAUGCUCCAUCUGAUCCACUGGAACUCCACUCUGUUUGGCAGCAUUGAUGAGGCUGUGGGGAAGCCGCACGGGAUCGCCAUCAUUGCUCUGUUUGUUCAGAUAGGAAAGGAACAUGUUGGCUUGAAGGCUGUGACUGAAAUCCUCCAGGAUAUUCAGUAUAAGGGGAAGUCCAAAACAAUACCUUGCUUUAAUCCUAACACUUUAUUACCAGACCCUCUGCUGCGGGACUACUGGGUGUAUGAAGGCUCUCUCACCAUCCCACCUUGUAGUGAAGGUGUCACCUGGAUAUUAUUCCGAUACCCUUUAACUAUAUCCCAGCUACAGAUAGAAGAAUUUCGAAGGCUGAGGACGCAUGUUAAGGGGGCAGAACUUGUAGAAGGCUGUGAUGGGAUUUUGGGAGACAACUUUCGGCCCACUCAGCCUCUUAGUGACAGAGUCAUUAGAGCUGCAUUUCAGUAGCCAAAGAGGACAGGAACAAGUCUAUCUUCAUGAGGGACAUUGCCCAGAGGGAGGUCAUUUAGAUUGUUUCCAGUUUCUUUUUGCAGAGGAAGACAAUGGUCCUAUAGUGCCCUUGGAUGAGAAAAGGAAACUUUUGAGCUGCACCUUCAGUUUAUCCUCAAAGCCUGCGUUGUCUUCAUCUAAUCCAGCUUUGAUGGACGUCUGUGAUGGUUGCCUGUACACUUGCUGAAAUGAAAUAUUAGAAAUGGCUGUAUAUUCCAAAGAAACCCUAUAUUAUAUAUCUACGUUACUGCUGCUAGGAUUCAUAUUUGCACAUACUGUUUAUUGCUUAUGUGUAGAGAGAAUGACACUAGUUUCCAGAGUUGUUAUUAAUCUGAAUAUAUAUCAUGUGUUAAUAUUGAGAAAGGAAAAAUACACUCCCAGUGUUAGUAGUUCUUCAUUUCCUGUCUCCAACAGAAAAUUAACUCAUUUUAAAACUAGUAUAAUUCUUGAUAAUAAAAUAAGAGUUUUGAAUAAGAACAGCAGAGAGCUUCAAAAUGCAAAGUGAAUGAUUAGUAAAAUUAUGUCUCAUUUUAUUUUUUCAGCACCCAUACCACAGUUAACGUUAGGUUGGAUUGCCAUGGGAAACAUUUUUUUUUUGGUGUUAAUGCAGCAACAUAAUAUUCACUUUAUGUAUUACUACAUAGUUAAAGGAUUUAACUGAAUGUAUGAAUCAAAUUAUAUUUAUUUGACCUAUUCGAAGCUGUGGUUUAUAGGAAUUUGAGAAAGGUAUAAGAAAUAGGAUAAAAAGAAGGUCACCACCAUGUACCAGGAAUAGCUUUACUUUCCAUAAACAGAAAUAUAAAUUUAAUGGUAUCCUAUAUUACUUUAGUGUUGUAUACUUUGUAAGACUUAAAAAUAUUUUAUUCUAUUGAUUCCACUUCUUUGGUAUGUUAAGACAUUUCUUUAAAGAUGACCAACAAUAUCCUUAUUUUAGGUGCUACUAGCAAAUGUAAACAUAUACUUAGUUGCAGUUAGAUGUGACAGAAUGAGAUAAUUUAUGUAAAGUAGUAGAGUGCCUGGCACAAAGCAAACCAUAAAUUAUUGUUGUUAUAAUUGU